GGCCGAUUUUUCGCCACCGGCGCUAGCACUGGGGAGCCUGUUGGGGAGAUGCUCUUAAAGCAGCGGAGCGAAGGAGGCACCUCUUGGCGAUUGCCUCAUCGUCCAUGGCGAUUCUGAUCGGCUCCCCCUCUUCUUUCUUCAGGUCCUUCGAUCUCAAAGAAAUUCACUAGGCAUGAGAAAAGAAGUUGGAAUUGAAAGAUUUCUGAUCUGUGGAUCGUCUCUUGUAUGAUCUUCUAUAGUUCUCCCCAAAUUUCUUGUUGCGGUUGUCCCUCCUUCCCUCUCUGCAAGCAUCUCCCUCAAAUCUCUCUUGAUCUGGCUUGAUUACAAACUUCAUAGGAUUUUGGGAUACUUUUAUUACUCCCAUGUUGAGGAAAUGAAUUGAUUUUGAUAAAAUUGAUGAUGUCUUCCUAGCUGUUCCCAACCAGACCAAUAGACUGCGAAACAACAAUGAGGAGAAGAAGGCCUUUUUGCAUCGGUGAGAUGUUGAACUAUGGAUAGGGCCGUGUGUAUGUUGCUUCAGUGUGUAGUCAUCUGUAUGAUAGGCAGUGUGUAUUUUGGUUCAGUUGUUUCUGUAUAAUCUGUAGUUGACAGGUGCUACUAUAAUUCCUAGGUUUUAUUACUGUAAUUCCAAGGUUUUCUUACUGUAAUUUCAAAGUUUA
Long non-coding RNA from Triticum dicoccoides, 659 nucleotides. RefSeq lists it as uncharacterized. Lineage: Eukaryota; Viridiplantae; Streptophyta; Magnoliopsida; Poales; Poaceae. The record is from RefSeq and is a predicted model, not a curated record. The transcript is spliced from 4 exons.